UACGUAGGGGCAAGCGUUGUCCGGAUUUAUUGGGCGUAAAGAGCGUGUAGGCGGCCAGGCAGGUCCGCUGUGAAAACUCGAGGCUCAACCUCGAGACGUCGGUGGAAACCGUCUGGCUAGAGUCCGGAAGAGGAGAGUGGAAUUCCCGGUGUAGCGGUGAAAUGCGCAGAUAUCGGGAGGAACACCCGUGGCGAAAGCGGCUCUCUGGGACGGUACUGACGCUGAGACGCGAAAGCGUGGGGAGCGAACAGGAUUAGAAA
RNAcentral lists this ribosomal RNA (260 nucleotides) under uncultured bacterium. RNAcentral describes it as "partial 16S ribosomal RNA". It matches the Rfam family "Bacterial small subunit ribosomal RNA", at positions 524 to 784 of the family's 1533-position model. The record is from RNAcentral.